This 390-nucleotide unclassified non-coding RNA is filed under the name soil metagenome. Its description in RNAcentral is "partial contains 5.8S ribosomal RNA, internal transcribed spacer 2, and large subunit ribosomal RNA". The stretch from base 1 to 122 matches the Rfam family "5.8S ribosomal RNA", at positions 35 to 154 of the family's 154-position model. The record is from RNAcentral.
GAUGAAGAACGUAGCGAAAUGCGAUACUUGGUGUGAAUUGCAGAAUCCCGUGAACCAUCGAGUCUUUGAACGCAAGUUGCGCCCGAAGCCACUAGGCCGAGGGCACGCCUGCCUGGGCGUCACACGCCGUUGCCCCCCCAUCUACUCCUUCGGGAUUGCGGGGGGGCGGAUGAUGGCCUCCUGUGCGCCUAGCCGCGCGGUUGGCAUAAAUACCAAGUCCUCGGCGACGCACGCCACGACAAUCGGUGGUUGCGAAACCUCGGUUGCCCGUCGUGUGCGUUCGUCGCGCAUCGAGGGCUCGAAAAAAUGCUCGGCUCCGGCUGGGCUUUCAACGCGACCCCAGGUCAGGCGGGGUUACCCGCUGAAUUUAAGCAUAUCAUAAGCGGAGGA